Molecule: unclassified non-coding RNA, 957 nt
Filed under: Hevea brasiliensis (rubber tree)
Lineage: Eukaryota; Viridiplantae; Streptophyta; Magnoliopsida; Malpighiales; Euphorbiaceae
Source: RNAcentral
GAAAAAAAAUUAAUUGCUUGGCGUUUCCCAGAAAAAGAUGGCUGAUGGGGCAACAAGCUACACUGUUGAUGAAGCUCUUUUGGCAAUGGGUUUUGGAAAAUUCCAAUGCCUUUUUCUUCUUUACGCUGGCAUGGGUUGGAUUUCAGAGGCAAUGGAGAUGAUGAUUCUCUCAUAUGUUGGACCCGCAGUUCAGCAUACAUGGGGACUUACUUCUAAGCAAGAAAGCCUAAUAACCACUGUGGUUUUUGUUGGUAUGAUGGUUGGAGCAUAUUCGUGGGGCUUAUUGUCAGAUAAAUAUGGAAGAAGGAAGGGAUUUCUAGUUCCAGCAAUAGUUACUUCAGGAUCUGGCUUGCUGAGUUCCUUUGCCCCAAACUAUGUUACAUUGAUUCUUUCUCGGUGUUUGGUAGGCUUAGGUUUAGGAGGUGUUCCUGUAAUCUUAGCCUGGUUUUUAGAGUUUAUGCCUGCGCCAAAUAGAGGAACUUGGAUGAUUAUUUUCCAAGGAUUCUGGACCAUUGGAGCAAUUAUGGAGGCUGCUCUCGCUUGGAUUAUUAUGCCAAGGUUGGGUUGGAGGUGGUUACUUGCUUUGUCUGCUUCCCCUUCAUUGCUUCUUCUUAUAUUUUAUAUUAUGACACCUGAGUCACCAAGGUAUUUAUGCUUGAAAGGUAGAAAAAAUAAUGCCCUUAGGAUUUUAGAGAAAAUAGGCAAACUAAAUGGAAAGAGAUUGCCCCCUGGUAAUCUUGUUACUGACCAUGAAGUUGAGUUACAAGAGAAGAUAGUUCCACCAAAGGAUGGAAAUGAAGAUGAUUCUGGUGUUGGUAGCUCUAAUCCUCCCAGGUGGAAGGACUCUGACAUGGGGGCCUUCAGGUCGCAGUUAAUGCUUCUGUCACCAAAAUUAAUUAGGUCAACCUUGCUCUUAUGGGUUGUAUUUUUUGGGAAUGCAUUUUCAUACUAUGGCCU